RNAcentral lists this ribosomal RNA (404 nucleotides) under uncultured prokaryote. Its description in RNAcentral is "bacterial SSU rRNA". It matches the Rfam family "Bacterial small subunit ribosomal RNA", at positions 355 to 776 of the family's 1533-position model. The record is from RNAcentral. RNAcentral also lists the same sequence under 1 other name.
UGGGGAAUAUUGCACAAUGGGGGGAACCCUGAUGCAGCGAUGCCGCGUGGAGGAAGAAGGUUUUCGGAUUGUAAACUCCUGUCUUAAAGGACGAAAAUGACGGUACUUUAGGAGGAAGCUCCGGCUAACUACGUGCCAGCAGCCGCGGUAAUACGUAGGGAGCGAGCGUUGUCCGGAAUUACUGGGUGUAAAGGGAGCGUAGGCGGGAUUUUAAGUCAGAUGUGAAAUACGUGGGCUCAACCUACGGGCUGCAUUUGAAACUGAAGUUCUUGAGUGAAGUAGAGGCAAGCGGAAUUCCUGGUGUAGCGGUGAAAUGCGUAGAUAUCAGGAGGAACACCGGUGGCGAAGGCGGCUUGCUGGGCUUUAACUGACGCUGAGGCUCGAAAGCGUGGGUAGCAAACAGG